CAGCGAUAAGGGAACCUCGAGUGCCAGGUUACAAAUCUGGCUGUCGAGAUGCCUAAAAAGCAUUUCAUAGCAAGGGCCGGGCAAGACCGGUGCCAGCCGCCGCGGUAACACCGGCGGCUCGAGUGGUAACCGUUAUUAUUGGGUCUAAAGGGUCUGUAGCCGGCCGGAUAAGUCUCUUGGGAAAUCUGGCAGCUCAACUGUCAGGCUUUCAGGAGAUACUGUCUGGCUCGAGGCCGGGAGAGGUGAGAGGUACUUCAGGGGUAGGGGUGAAAUCUUGUAAUCCUUGAAGGACCACCAGUGGCGAAGGCGUCUCACCAGAACGGACCUGACGGCAAGGGACGAAAGCUAGGGGCACGAACCGGAUUAGAUACCCGGGUAGUCCUAGCCGUAAACGAUACUCGCUAGGUGUCGGCCACGGUGCGACCGUGGUCGGUGCCGUAGGGAAGCCGUGAAGCGAGCCACCUGGGAAGUACGGCCGCAAGGCUGAAACUUAAAGGAAUUGGCGGGGGAGCAC
RNAcentral lists this ribosomal RNA (514 nucleotides) under uncultured archaeon GA42. RNAcentral describes it as "bacterial SSU rRNA". It matches the Rfam family "Archaeal small subunit ribosomal RNA", at positions 365 to 879 of the family's 1478-position model. The record is from RNAcentral.